GACCUGGUGGUGUAACUGGUAACACACUUGCUCCAAAUGAAUGAAAAUCAGGCACUCCUGCAAGUGCUCCCCGUUCAAUUCGGGGUCAGGUCA
Molecule: non-coding RNA, 93 nt
Organism: Mycena metata
Lineage: Eukaryota; Fungi; Basidiomycota; Agaricomycetes; Agaricales; Mycenaceae
Source: the annotation of a GenBank genome assembly